ACGUAGGUGGCGAGCGUUAUCCGGAAUUACUGGGCGUAAAGCGCGCGCAGGCGGUUGUACAAGUUCGGCGUGAAAGCUCCCGGCUUAACUGGGAGAGGUCGUUGAAAACUGUAUAACUUGAGGCGAUGAGAGGGGUACGGAAUUCCAGGUGUAGUGGUGGAAUGCGUAGAUAUCUGGAGGAACACCAGUGGCGAAAGCGGUACCCUGGCAUUGACCUGACGCUCAUGUGCGAAAGCGUGGGGAGCGAACGGG
RNAcentral lists this ribosomal RNA (252 nucleotides) under uncultured bacterium. RNAcentral's name for it is "partial 16S ribosomal RNA". It matches the Rfam family "Bacterial small subunit ribosomal RNA", at positions 525 to 776 of the family's 1533-position model. The record is from RNAcentral.